UCACGUCCUACACCGUCCAUAAGAUGGGGGGCCACCUCCCAUUUCAUCACUCCUCAAACACCCGAGGAGCCGGCAGGCGGAUUUGAACCCGGGUCGACUGGGUCGACUGGGAGCAGAAGUCAGGCCUUAACCUCUGCCAGCCGCCUGCCAUAACAGAUCGUCACCAGGGGUUCGCACGUGGUCCCCCACCGUACUACUGAUCUGGCCCAAUGUUGCUUAUGUGCCCAGUGCUGAUGGGAUGGGCAGUGUUCAACACCUAUGCAUGUGCUCUAUCCAUCUAGUUCGUUGUUUGACAUGCCCAAAGAGUGUGUGUGUGUGUGUUGGUUGGUUGGUUGGUUGCAGGUCCAGGUGUAUGUCCUAGGUAUUGUGCGCUCUGUCACAUGCCAACGACACCCAGGCAGGAAGGGAGGAAUGAUCUGUUAAAGAGAACUCGGGAAUAAACAGCAGGGAGCACCAAACACUCGCUGGGUUGGUAUAAAUGUAUCCAGCAGAGGCACACACACACACACACAUACACACACACACACACACAACACAAGAAAAACAAUCCACUGGAUCAUUUGUGCUAUAUAGUUGUUCCCCCUUCUGCCCGUAUUAAGGUAUUACUACUCGUUUUUCCUUGAUGUAGCCAGCACUGAAACGGCACCAUGCAUGUUUGGCUUUACGACAUAGUUUAUAAGCUAGUUGCUAUUCUGGGGAUGCGAGCAUCAAAGGUACGACAUGGGUGUGUCGGUGGCCCUACGGCCCUACAAUAGUCACGAUUGCCACCUCGAGCUCGUCAGGAAUAUGUUGUCAACAUGGCCCUCUAUACACAGCAUGCACAUGCUACCAUGCCAUACCACAUCCUUGGAUACCAGGUGUGAUACCAGGUUUCGGUUUCAUCUUUUGAUGUUUUAUGGAUAUGUAUCCAGGCAAGCAUGCGCAAAUAGGUGUCCUUGAAGAGGUGGUGAACACAAAGUGUUCUAGGAUGGUGGUUCAGCGAAACCACCAUGAAGAACCUCGGUCGUGGAGAUGAAAACCGCCGACACGGGGAAUCGAACCCCGGCCUCCCGCGUUCCGUGUCUUGGCUCGAGUCCUGACAGGCGGGGAUACUGACCACUAUACGAUGUCGACCCUCUGUGACGUGCCUACUUCAGCUCGACUCCAUGACUCAUCCUUUCGCUACCGGGACUCGAACCCGGGUCUCGGGAGUGAGAAUCUCGCAUCCUAACCGCCUAGACUAUAGCGAAGGAUUGAAUACACACACCUCUUCCAAGAGAUGCUUUGAAGGCCUCCUGUCGGGACCAGCAAGGACCACAGCAUCCACACCAAAUGCUUGCCCAUGCAUCCGUGAUAAAUGGAUGCUGCAGAGAUUCUGUAAAGAAUCCGCAACUCUUUGCUAAUAAUAAUCGUAACCUGCAUGCAUAAUAUGUGUGAAUUACGGUGUGCAUCAGCGAUGAAAGGGUUGAGAGUCGCUAGUAGUCAACAGUUAUUUUAAUCUGUAUAUGCACCGGCAGCCCCUAUAUCCGUGUUGCCUAACUACCGACAUCAUCCACCAGUACUGGAACACGGUUUCGAUGUUUGUUCGACCAACUCACAUUCCAGCACCCUAUUAGAAGUCAUCCGCCCCACUUUUCAAGUUUUUUGGACAGUUUACCAUGAUACAUGGCCAGAUAGAAAGCUGGCUAAUGUCAGUUGCAUUUGCAGGACCAUUUUUGCUCCAUGCCAGAUUUGAACCUNNNNNNNNNNNNNNNNNNNNNNNNNNNNNNNNNNNNNNNNNNNNNNNNNNCAAUAUUAGCUCAACUUCAGCAGCAAUCUGGAGCUUGCGGAUUGCUGUGCACCUGUGGCCGAGUGGUUAAGGCGCCGCCCUGCUAAGGCGGUGGGGUUUCCCCGCGUGCGUUCGAAUCGCAUCGGGUGCGGCAUUGGAUUUUGGUCCAUGUAGUCCCACAGGCACUCCCACAGGCACUCCCAGCAGAUCGCUGGCUUCCGGCCAUCAAACCUGCAGCAGCUGCGGUUGUCAUCCUACGGUGACAGCACCACAGCAGCUGGGUUUUCCAUGUCGUGUCACAGUUCGGAUGCCAAGUCUACCACGCACUAGCGCAUUGUAGUGCAGUUUCCUUGCUGUUGCUAAUGCAACUGCCUUUGCUACUUGACUUUGGGCCGCCCACCCCCAACAGCUCUGUUUUCCAUGUCAUCCCACAACUCUGAUGCCAAGUAUACUGCACACUAGCUGAAUGCAGUUUCGUUGCUUUUCCUAAAGCAAGCAAGUGCCUUGCUAAGUGGGCGUGAUUGAUGGGGGUGGCCAGGAGCGAUUGGAAAAUGAUGGCCUGCACGCGUUGUAGCUGCCAGCCAGGUCAAAAGUGGCUCUGCCACCGCCUUUUACGCCCGAGGUGGGGCUCGAACCCACGACCACAAGAUUAAGAGCCUUGCGCUCGACCGACUGAGCUACCCGGGCAGUGCACGAUUUCCAAGUCGCCACAUGGAAAUGCAUCAAUACUGCAGUCUACUACUCAUAAAUCCAAAGACUGCGAAACAAACACAAAAACGGUUACAGCUUUCCUGUUUGCCCACUUGCCCAUGUACAUGUGUACUGUUAUAUUAUGUAUGUCCUAUAUAUACGAGGUUGGCAACGCUGGAUUUUCGGUACCUCCUUAUUGAAGGCACACCUAUGCAUGUGCUCUAUCCAUCUAGUUCGUUGUUUGACAUGCCCAAAGAGUGUGUGUGUGUGUGUGUGUUGGUUGGUUGGUUGGUUGCAGGUCCAGGUGUAUGUCCUAGGUAUUGUGCGCUCUGUCACAUGCCAACGACACCCAGGCAGGAAGGGAGGAAUGAUCUGUUAAAGAGAACUCGGGAAUCACUGGAUCAUUUGUGCUAUAUAGUUGUUCCCCCUUCUGCCCGUAUUAAGGUAUUACUACUCGUUUUUCCUUGAUGUAGCCAGCACUGAAACGGCACCAUGCAUGUUUGGCUUUACGACAUAGUUUAUAAGCUAGUUGCUAUUCUGGGGAUGCGAGCAUCAAAGGUACGACAUGGGUGUGUCGGUGGCCCUACGGCCCUACAAUAGUCACGAUUGCCACCUCGAGCUCGUCAGGAAUAUGUUGUCAACAUGGCCCUCUAUACACAGCAUGCACAUGCUACCAUGCCAUACCACAUCCUUGGAUACCAGGUGUGAUACCAGGUUUCGGUUUCAUCUUUUGAUGUUUUAUGGAUAUGUAUCCAGGCAAGCAUGCGCAAAUAGGUGUCCUUGAAGAGGUGGUGAACACAAGUGUUCUAGGAUGGUGGUUCAGCGAAACCACCAUGAAGAACCUCGGUCGUGGAGAUGAAAACCGCCGACACGGGGAAUCGAACCCCGGCCUCCCACGUUCCGUGUCUUGGCUCGAGUCCUGACAGGCGGGGAUACUGACCACUAUACGAUGUCGACCCUCUGUGACGUGCCUACUUCAGCUCGACUCCAUGACUCAUCCUUUCGCUACCGGGACUCGAACCUGGGUCUCGAGAGUGAGAAUCUCGCAUCCUAACCGCCUAGACUAUAGCGAAGGAUUGAAUACACA
Molecule: long non-coding RNA, 3524 nt
Filed under: Volvox carteri
Lineage: Eukaryota; Viridiplantae; Chlorophyta; Chlorophyceae; Chlamydomonadales; Volvocaceae
Description: long non-coding RNA (VCAR_LNC004073)
Rfam family: tRNA (bases 1817-1898)
Source: RNAcentral